GGGUUCCAUGCUUCCUGGGAGAGUCCUAUCAAUAAGGUUUUGCAAGAGCCCAUCCAGUGUCAAUUCUGCCUUUCUCAUUUCCUUUGGUGCUGUUUUGUGGGGUACAAUCAGGGGACAAAGGCUUGUUUUUAUAGUUACUGAAAAGGUAGGUAUUUUGAGGAGCUAGCUCUCCUGUAUUAGGACCUUGUUGAUGCUAAAACAAGAGCCUUCUUUGAGUUCUGUGUGCCUGAAACCUGGGCAAGAGGUAGAGGAACAGGGCUAAAAUUUUAAAAGCUAAGCCAAUUCCCCACUCUGUUCCUUCCCCUCCCUCUCUUCUCCACAGACCUAUUCCACACAAAUUGUACUGACUUCCCCUUGGCUCCCUCUGGCACAAGGUCAGGGAAGGUUCAUGAAAGACUCUCCCUUAGCCAGAGGCUCCCAAACUCCUAUUCAAGCCAACUUAUUCUUACCACUUAGCCUGAGCUCAUGUCUUGGGUCCCACCCUAGUCCAACUAUGCACUCCCCAUUCUCUCUUCCCUGCUUCUCUGUGGCAGAGCCAACUCAACUUCGUUGGUACCUCUGAGACUUGUUAAAUUAUUAAAUCCAGCCCCCACAAAAUGGGAGGCUUAUCCUUCCUCACCUGGAGAGAUAGAUGUGUGUUCCAGAGUUGUGCCACAGAGAUUCUUCAGGGCCCAAUUCCAGGCAACCUUACCUAUGUUAGUUUGUGCCUGUGUGUGUGUGUAUGUGUGCAUGCACAUACACAGACACACACACACACAAAAACCCUUUUUUGUUGUUGUUGGGUGGUAGAAAUGCAUACCUGUAAUAUCAGCUAGUUGGAGACUUAGGCAGGAGGAUUGAAGGUUUGAGACCAGCUUGGACAACUUAAACCCUGUUUCAAAAUAUUAGCUGGGACAGGCAUGGUGGCGCACACCUAUAAUCCUGGAGCUUGAGGCAGGAGGAUCACAAAUUCAAGGCCAGACUCAAGAACUUAGGGAGGCCCUAAGCAAUUUAGCUCUUAAAUAAAUAGACCCUCUAAAAAUAAAAAAUAAAAAGGGCUGAGGAUAUGACUCAGCACUCUUGGGUUCAAUUCAAAUUUUUUUUUUUUUUUAAAGCUGGGUGCAAUGGCAUAUUCCUGUAAUCCCAACACUUUGGGAGGCUGACACAGGAGGUUUGCAAGUUUGAGACUAGCCUUGGCAACUUAGUGAGAUCUGGAUUCAAAAUUAAAAAAUGAAAAGAACUGGGAAUGUAGCUUAGUGGUAGAUCAUCCCUAUUACUCAAAUAAAAGUGGGAGGGGAACUAGGGGUGUAGUAGUUCAGUGGUGGAGUGCUUGCCUAGCAUGCAUGAGGCCCUGAGUUCAAUCCCCAGUACUAAAAAAUAAUAAUAAUAUAAACAUUCAUGUGCCUGAGACACUGCCUGCCCUAGACCUCUGGCACAUGGGC
RNAcentral lists this long non-coding RNA (1421 nucleotides) under Marmota monax (woodchuck). The record is from RNAcentral. Lineage: Eukaryota; Metazoa; Chordata; Mammalia; Rodentia; Sciuridae.